CUUUUGAUACUCACAAAGUUACAGCGGUCCGAGCCUCUUUCUCUCUCUGUGGACUUCUUCUUCGCUAUUUCCUGCGUCCAUUUAUCCAUCUUCUCCUAAACACUGUAAUCAACAGUCAGUCUGAAACUGUGUGAUUUGGAAGAAAAGAGAAUCAUACGGUGGUGGAAGAAUGGAGAGCGCCGACGUCUUCCUGGGACUGCACGACUUUCUAGAGCGCAUGCGUCAACCGUCCGCUGCCGAUUUCGUCAAAUCCAUCAAGAGCUUCAUUGUCUCAUUUUCAAACAAUGCUCCUGAUCCAGAAAGGGAUAGUGCCCUGGUACAGGACUUCCUUGCCAAAAUGGAAGCGGCUUUCAGGGCUCAUCCACUUUGGGCUGGUUGUUCAGACGAGGAGCUGGAGAGUGCUGGUGAAGGACUCGAGAAGUAUGUAAUGACGAAGUUAUUUACCCGUGUAUUUGCUUCAAUUCCAGAUGAUGUUAAAGUUGAUGAGCAACUUUCUGAGAAGAUGUCUUUGAUUCAACAGUUCAUUCGACCAGAAAAUUUGGACAUUAAGCCAACCUUUCAAAAUGAAACAUCAUGGCUGCUUGCCCAGAAAGAACUGCAAAAGAUCAACAUGUACAAAGCACCAAGAGACAAACUUGUGUGCAUUCUCAAUUGUUGCAAGGUCAUAAAUAACUUAUUGCUUAAUGCAUCAAUUGCUUCCAAUGAGAAUCCUCCUGGAGCUGAUGAAUUUCUUCCUGUCCUAAUAUAUGUUACUAUAAAGGCAAACCCUCCACAGCUGCAUUCAAAUUUAUUGUACAUACAACGGUACAGGCGUCAAUCCCGGCUAGUUGCAGAAGCAGCCUACUUUUUCACAAAUAUGCUCUCUGCAGAGUCUUUUGUCUCAAACAUUGAUGCAAAAUCUAUUUCAAUGGAGGAAACUGAAUUUGAAAAGAACAUGGAAUUUGCUCGAGCGCUUCUCUCUGGACUUUCAACUGAUUCAGAUAGUCUAUCUAAUCAAAAUGAUCAAAAUGUAGGAAAUAGUGUGGAAUCCAAGUCUCAAUCUUUGAGUUCUAAGAAAGAAAGGGACUCCUCAAUUCGAUCCAAAUCUUCUGAAACAAGAUCUGGCAAUAGAGACUGGCAAUAUGUGAAAGAUGAGUCGUCCAUGGCAAAGGUUCCAUCCCUCUCAGAUAUCGAGAAUAGAGGAGCAAUCAUGCUUUUGAAGGAGGAUCUGGCGAGUUUAGCCUUUCGAGAAUACCCAUACUUGUUUGCUCAAGUUGGUGAUCUGACAAUCAAUGAUGUAGAAGAUCUACUAAAUAAUUACAAACAGUUGGUUUUCAAGUAUGUUUGUCUUUCCAAAGGGCUAGGUGGCACUACUCCAUCCAAUUCUCAAAUUCAUGCCCACGUUGAUGUUGAAUUUGUCGAGAAACAUCAAGAUGCUGGAGUAGUAGAGCCAAAUGAUGAAUCACAAAAACAAAUUACUACGACGGAUAAUUCUGGCACAGACUCUCUUGUUACUGAGGAAAAUGUUGAAUCAAAGUCUGAACAGGCCAAGGGAAUGGUGCUUGAAGAGGAGCAAAAGGAGGAGACUUCUCAAUAAUAUCUGCCGAGGCUGGUCAUGUCCUCUGUAGGAGCAAUGCAACUUCCAACACAAAAGGCUGUCAUUAGUAUUUAUGCUUCUGUUAAAGGGAGAGAUAUCUUGAUUUUGUGUUGCAACAAGCAUCUUACCUCUGCCAAAUUGCAGGGAGAACAGUGAGGGACAAUCAGAAAUUGAUUGUGCCAUUUUGUGACGCGUCAAAUAUAUGUAGUUGAGUACCGGAAAACCAACUCAGCAACACCUGAUCCCAGAAUACGUCUGAUAUUUUUCUCCACUUAUAUGUAGCAUAAAUGACUACAUGGUAUCAGAAUGCACAUGGACAUGGAUGAUUAUAUUCUUGACAGACAGCGCUUUUUGUUUUUACCUAUCAAAAAGUGGCAUCAGGGUUGAUUGAUUGUUCUCCAGUUGUUGGAUCUUUCCUUGACCUGUCUGCCCUCUUCCUUCUAGUUGUGAAGCACGAGAAAGAGUCUUCUUUUAUCACCUAACAAGAUCAGCCAAUACAUAAAUAUUAUAUGGAUGGAGGGUUUUUGUUGGGGGGACAAUCUUUCAAUUAUUUUCGGACCUAUAAAUAAUUUUAGGUUCAGAUAUGCCUUCUACAAGGACAUGAAUGGGGUCUAAAUGCAUGUUCUUAAUAUAUAUAUCUGUUUUAUUUAUUUAUUUAUUUUUAUUUUGUCCUUGUGGAAGGCAUUUUGGUGUUAUUAUUUUUGCUUAUGGAAGUCUUUGUCAAAACUCGAUUUCAACUCAGAUAAUCUCCUGAUUUUCUAGCGUAAGCAAUAAUAUUAUUUUUAAUAGGAG
Molecule: RNA transcript, 2368 nt
Organism: Jatropha curcas
Lineage: Eukaryota; Viridiplantae; Streptophyta; Magnoliopsida; Malpighiales; Euphorbiaceae
Gene name: vacuolar protein sorting-associated protein 9A
Source: RefSeq, a predicted model, not a curated record